RNAcentral lists this ribosomal RNA (484 nucleotides) under uncultured bacterium. RNAcentral describes it as "partial 16S ribosomal RNA". It matches the Rfam family "Bacterial small subunit ribosomal RNA", at positions 30 to 507 of the family's 1533-position model. The record is from RNAcentral.
AUUGAACGCUGGCGGCAGGCCUAACACAUGCAAGUCGAGCGGAUGAAGGGAGCUUACUCCUGGAUUCAGCGGCGGACGGGUGAGUAAUGCCUAGGAAUCUGCCUGGUAGUGGGGGAUAACGUCCGGAAACGGGCGCUAAUACCGCAUACGUCCUGAGGGAGAAAGUGGGGGAUCUUCGGACCUCACGCUAUCAGAUGAGCCUAGGUCGGAUUAGCUAGUUGGUGGGGUAAAGGCCUACCAAGGCGACGAUCCGUAACUGGUCUGAGAGGAUGACCAGUCACACUGGAACUGAGACACGGUCCAGACUCCUACGGGAGGCAGCAGUGGGGAAUAUUGGACAAUGGGCGAAAGCCUGAUCCAGCCAUGCCGCGUGUGUGAAGAAGGUCUUCGGAUUGUAAAGCACUUUAAGUUGGGAGGAAGGGCAGUAAGUUAAUACCUUGCUGUUUUGACGUUACCAACAGAAUAAGCACCGGCUAACUUCGUG